This 223-nucleotide long non-coding RNA is filed under the name Mytilus galloprovincialis (Mediterranean mussel). Lineage: Eukaryota; Metazoa; Mollusca; Bivalvia; Mytilida; Mytilidae. The record is from RNAcentral.
ACGGAUUUAGUUUCGGUCCCUAAUUUUUUUUUAAUAAUAUUUACAUUUUGCUUGAUAUAUAUUUCCAUAAAAAUCAUCACACUUUUUUCAAAACAGUUAACAUGGUUAAAAUAACACUUUUUAGAAACAUAUUUUAAAGUGAAUUUAAUUCAGCAUUGUCAACUACAUAACGCUUUUUGUCAACUACAUAACGAUUCACUGCGUUAUGUAGUUGACCUAUUUG